Long non-coding RNA from Panicum virgatum (switchgrass), 4745 nucleotides. RefSeq lists it as uncharacterized. The record is from RefSeq and is a predicted model, not a curated record. Lineage: Eukaryota; Viridiplantae; Streptophyta; Magnoliopsida; Poales; Poaceae. The transcript has 9 exons.
CCCUCCUCACCGUUCACCCCUCCUCGGCUCCUCGCUCCCCCUCCCUCACCGUGCACCCCUCCUCCUUCCCCUGCUCGGUCCCCUGCGCGGAGCGGCAGCAGGGCCGACGCGGGUGUGGGGCGGCGGCGGGGCCUCGCUCGGAGCGGCAGCGGGGCCGCGCGGGGCCUGCGCGGAGCGGCAGCAGGGCCGGCACGGAGCGGCAGCGGGGCCGACGCUGGUGUGGGGCGGCGUUGGGGCCUCGCUCCCUCCUUCCCUCCUCUUCUUCCUCCUCCGUCUGCCGGCCCCACGCGGCCACCACGCCGGAUCCGCACGGGUGGUGGGAGCGCGCGGCGGGCGGAGCCGCGAGGCCGCAACUUCUCUUCCCCGCGCCGUCUCCGUCGUAGCGUUAUCACUCCUCGUGGAUGAAGCGAUGUAGGCAUGGAUGGCGUCCGCGAAGGAUGCGGCUGGAUCUGCAAUGGAGAACCUGGUGGUUGCACAGAUUAUACAAGAAAAACUAGAUGGAGGUGGCCUCCCUAUUAUUGUUGGCGGCACAAAUUUCUACAUCCAGGUUUCAGCACAAUGGACCCGAGGAGGCUAAAACUUGAUUAGUUCUUAUUGAUUAGAUCAGCUUUGUAUCCGUUCAACAAUUAUUAAAAGCUGCAGACAAUAGGUAAAAUCUGAUCCAUCUUUUACCUUGCUGAUGUAUGUCACCAAGCUGAUACUUCAGUGGUUCUGAAGUGAAGCAUUUGCCUUUUCUUUUGGCCUUCACAAUUUGUUUUUUUAAUUUCAUACGAUAGCUAUUUUCCUUUUCACAUGUUAUCUAAAAUUAACAGGAGGCAUGCUGGAAUGGCAUAAUCUUGGUUUGGUGUCUAGAGAACCUUGUAAUCUCAUCUUUAGGCAUAUUUUGUAAAGAAAACUUUUUUGUUUGCCUUCUCAAUUUGGUCUGAUGGAUGAUCAGGCUGCCAGGCAUUCCAGCCCUUCUCCAUUUAAUAGGCCAAGGGUUAAAGCAUAGAGAAGAGGAUGAUAUGGAGAACUGUUCGUAUGUCAUCUGGAAAAAGAGGGGAGAUGAAACAAUAUGAUGCAUAGCAGCGGAGAUGUGCAAGUUUCAUGGGCCAAAUAAUGUUCUGUCGACCAGAAAUGCAGAGAUCAGAUUCUAACUUGAUGACAUACAAGUGAAUCUGAAAAUUUGAAUGCACAUGAUACAAGUUUAAACUCAAGAAAUAUGCUGGAGCUUCCUAUUCUAUUCAAAGACUUUGCCUUCAUAUUUGUUUGUGGCAUCUCGCUGGCAUGCACCACAACUGUUUGGUCAAUGCUUGGGAGGAAGAGGUCGGCAAGGGUGGAGCCAAUGGCAAGGGAUCCACUGCUUUCUCACUUGAACUCAUGAAGGGAAAGAAGGUUUUGUUUUUGAGCAGCACAAGCAGUAGGUUUCUUGGUAGGACUCAUUACUUAGUCAGGUAUAUUUGAUACCAACCUAGGGGUUCUUGAUAAGGUCUUGGGCUCUUGGCUGAGAUUUGAGCCUGAUGCUGGUGUGCUUGGUGCUUUGCCUUUGUGGUGGGCGUGCAGCUCCUGGAGCCACUGACCGGGACAGCUCUGCACUUCUGGUUAUGUUCAUUUGCAAUCACUGUCCGUUUGUAAAACAUCUGAAAAAGGAUAUUGCAAAGGUCAUGUCCAUAUCGUCGAACUCAAUUAGGAUGCAUCCCCAGGUUAGAAGUUACUACCGAUGAAUGUCUUAAUUAGUUGCUGCCUUUUCUGUAGCCAGUAGUUUCUCUUUGACAAAGCAUAUGAACCCAAAAAACUUUAUUGUAACUUGCUUUAUAAUUUUUUAGACCUUUAAUGCAAGACUUCGACUAUGAUUGUUCUCUGGUAAAACAAAAAUACAUAUUGUAAUUGUUCUACUUCAAGUAAUGUCUGAUGUCACUCUUUCCAUGUACUCUUACAUAUUACACAAUAUGGCCGCUUAUAAUGUCUUUUGUUGGUCUUUGGCUAUUCCUUUUGUUGGAAUAUUUAUGGCUAUUAUAUCUGUGUAAGCUGCAGAACUAACAGGAAAAAAACUAUAUGGUUACUGUCUUAACAUAAAUUCCUAAAUAAUGCAUCCUGGUCCUGUAGGACUUGUUAUUGAAACUUGUAAAUGACUAUUCUAUAGACUGGCACAGACAUGGCAGAAGUGUUGUCCUGUUGCAACUUCAGUGGCCUCAUGCCCUCUAUGGGAAAAGUUUCUUUUUAAUAAAGUUAUUGCUACAUCUCAGUGCUUCUAGCAUUAUUAACAUCCAAAAUACUUAUCAAAUUAUUUGAAAUACAAUGUAGAUUUGUUUGACCAAAUUCUUUAAAGAUAUCUCAGGUAAAAAUUUGCACCUUCACUUAUUUGGUUAACACAAUAUUUUCUGUAUCAUCUCCUCUUAUCUGUGGCUGGUAUAAAUAAAUAGUUGUUAUUCAAACUUACCCUUGGCUUAUAUUAUAUAAUGGAUAAUAUUGCAGGUCCUGGUAUGACAACCCUUGUUUAUGGAUUUGAAACGCAACUAAUCGCAAUACGAUGCUUGUUAGUUUCAGGCUCUAGACUUCAAAGUUGAAACCGAACUAUGUUCGUGCAUGGGCUAAUAUGGGAAUCAGCUAUGCCAACCAGGUAAUUCUUCUCUUGUAGAAUGCUAUCAUUUGAUUAUGUUAUCGGCUGUGUCAUCACAUUCUUUAAUACUACCUUGUGAUGCGAAAUAAGAGGCCAUAUUUUGACUUUGCUUACCUUGGUUUCUCAACACUACUACACUAACAUACAACCAUGGUGGAACUUCUAUUUUUGUUAUUUAUGUGAACUGUUGUAACCUUUGUAUUGCAACGGGUAUCUAGACAACCAGCUAACGUAGUAGUACGUGUGGUUUACUAUGGGAGAAGGAAGAUUCCAUAUUUCUUGCAAUUGAAGUCUAGCAAUUUAGCACUAUGAUUUACCAAUUAGUAAUUUCAUAUUUUCCCAAUUAACAACCAACUUUGAUGUACUUUGGCAAGUAUGGAUUUAGAAAAAAGUAGUCAUAUGGUCAGGAAGUUUCUGAUGGAUAAAUGACAAUAAUGUACAUGACUAUGCUUUUUUAUUCCAACAUCUCACAUUCUUUCAAGCAAAGCAAGAUUCAAAAUCUUUUGUACAUGAAGACAUGUACGUAGUUGCAGGAGCCUGAGGGUGUGGGAGCAGCUGGCUGGGACAUUUGAAGUUGUAUGGCACCAAGGAUAUGGAAGCACCUGGUAUGAAUGUAUAAGAAAUAAAAAGUUUCCUAUGGUAUUGAUAUAAAUCCUUCUUGCUCCAUUUAGGUACAUUUUUCAUCUCUCUAAUAGAAGCUGUGACAUUCUUUCUUUUUCUUUCAAUGUUGUUGUCCAAUGAUCAGUUGCAGUAUGGUGUCUGUUUAUUUGAAAAUCCUACCUGAUCAGUCUAUUUAGUAUUUUGUCAAAGCUCCAGAUUAUCAACUGGCCCAUGUCUAUGUUAGUUUGGAAAUAUUUUUGUACUCUACAUGCAGAUAAAAUUGGGAGUAUAUAAUUUCUAAAUCCCAUAGCAAUGUAUGGGCAUAGUUCUAUUGUGUCGAAGUUAGCUCAUGGAUAUCAAUGAGUCUUAAAAUAUCAUAUCUUGCCGAUACUCUGUAUAUUACUCUGAAAUUUUUUUACCACCCAUAGCAAUGCUUGGGCAUAGACAAAGUUUUGGUAACUUGUAGGACAACUGGUUGAAAAUUGAACUGUUAGCACGGGUGUAUGAUCAUGACAUUACUGCUCUGUCUUGUGAUUAUUCUUUUUACCCAUGGGAUAUGUUUAUAAUGUAUUGUUACAUGUCGAGGGCCUUUCUUUCUACUCCCAUUAUUAUUUUGUCCUUUGCACACCAUCUGCAAACUACAUUUUUGCAAUACAUAAAGAGAAACAAUGAGAUGCCAUUAGAGGAAUAAUACUGCUCAAUAUUUUUCAGUAAGCUAAAACAUCCAAUGAAAGUAAUUAUCCUUGAAAUAUGAAAACUGGUCAUUUUGUGAUGCAUGUUCAAUUUUAAAAGGCUCUAUCACAUUGUCUCUCUUCAUGUCUAGGCUUUGGGCGCUUAUAAAUUGUUGUGUGCCUGCAGGCUUCUGUGAGAUCAUUUCUUCCUGGUUAGAUGUCAAGAAUACUCAAAAUGUGGUUGGUGGUUUCUGAUUGUUGCCUAUUUUGGCGUCAAUAUAACCUGCAGCAUUAAGAUCAUAUUUUUGGUAAUUAUUUUCUCAUGUCCUUAUGUACGGGAUUUGUGUUUUUACUUAGCAUCAUUCCUCCCUCAGAGUGCUUCAGCUACAUUACACUAUUGUGUGGACACAUCACCCUUCCUUGUAGUCAUUCAGUUUUUCAAAGUGUGCAUUAGCAAUUGAGGUCGAAUGGAUGGAUCCACUUGAAAAGCUGAUGGAACAAGAGGCUUGAUUUUUUGCCCAAUGGUCAAAUGCGUGUGAAGAGGUUCCAUAUGUUUCUUGCAUAUUUAUCUUGACUAAUAUGUGUAUGAAUAUAACAAGCUCGCAGCCAUGAUAAUGGUAUAUAAUUUUUAGAAACAUGUGCGUGCCGCACAUGCACUACUUUUUCAGAGCAAUAUUUUUCAGAUGUCAUGACAAGGUCUGGUGCUACUGCCAGGACAUCAUAUUUGAUUGUAAUUUCAGUGAGAUCAUGUAGUGUGAUGUGAGAAAUGUCUUCUUCAUCCAUUGCCAUGGAUGGAUGGCAGACCAAAAGGCUGUACUCGUGGGGUUGUAGCACUUUUAUAAUGUUCUAUCCAAUUCAAGCUUUUAAAUUUAUUA